GUCCAGGGACGGGAACCGAACCCACAGUGUUCCGCUUACCGGGCAGAUGCCAUGUCCACUAGGCUACCCUGGA
RNAcentral lists this transfer RNA (73 nucleotides) under Cordylochernes scorpioides. RNAcentral's name for it is "tRNA-Thr". The record is from RNAcentral. Lineage: Eukaryota; Metazoa; Arthropoda; Arachnida; Pseudoscorpiones; Chernetidae.